Molecule: ribosomal RNA, 281 nt
Filed under: Gillisella vitis
Lineage: Bacteria; Pseudomonadati; Pseudomonadota; Alphaproteobacteria; Hyphomicrobiales; Rhizobiaceae
Description: Agrobacterium vitis partial 16S ribosomal RNA
Rfam family: Bacterial small subunit ribosomal RNA
Source: RNAcentral
CAACUUGAGAGUUUGAUCCUGGCUCAGAACGAACGCUGGCGGCAGGCUUAACACAUGCAAGUCGAGCGCCCCUCCUUCAAGCAAGCUUGAAGGGUUAUUAUUCGGAUUUCGGGCAAGCAAGCUUGAAGGAUGAUAAUCCUUGAAAAAGAAGAUCAAGAGGCUUUUAAGAAGCUUUCUUGAUGGAGGGGAGCGGCAGACGGGUGAGUAACGCGUGGGAAUCUACCGUACCCUACGGAAUAGCUCUGGGAAACUGGAAGUAAUACCGUAUACGCCCCCCUUUA